RNAcentral lists this ribosomal RNA (254 nucleotides) under uncultured bacterium. RNAcentral describes it as "partial 16S ribosomal RNA". It matches the Rfam family "Bacterial small subunit ribosomal RNA", at positions 524 to 776 of the family's 1533-position model. The record is from RNAcentral.
UACGUAGGGGGCAAGCGUUGUCCGGAUUUAUUGGGCGUAAAGAGCUCGUAGGUGGUUCGGUAAGUCGGAUGUGAAAUCUCCAGGCUCAACCUGGAGGGGUCAUUCGAUACUGCCGUGACUAGAGUUCGGUAGGGGAGUGUGGAAUUCCUGGUGGAGCGGUGAAAUGCGCAGAUAUCAGGAGGAACACCCGUAGCGAAGGCGGCACUCUGGGCCGAUACCGACACUGAGGAGCGAAAGCGUGGGGAGCGAACAGG